This 504-nucleotide ribosomal RNA is filed under the name [Candida] sp. GJ5S05. RNAcentral's name for it is "eukaryotic LSU rRNA". It matches the Rfam family "Eukaryotic large subunit ribosomal RNA", at positions 89 to 650 of the family's 3401-position model. The record is from RNAcentral. Lineage: Eukaryota; Fungi; Ascomycota; Saccharomycetes; Saccharomycetales.
GCGAGUGAAGCGGCAUGAGCUCAAAUUUGAAAACCUUGUAUGAGGUGUUGUAAUUUGAAGAAACGAGGGCGGCAGAUGAAGGAAAAGUCCAUUGGAACAUGGCGCCAUUGAGGGUGACAGCCCCGUGUCUUCUAGCCAUUGCCCCUUGUUUCCAAGAGUCGAGUUGUUUGGGAAUGCAGCUCAAAGUGGGUGGUAAAUUCCAUCUAAAGCUAAAUAUUGGCGAGAGACCGAUAGCGAACAAGUACCGUGAGGGAAAGAUGAAAAGCACUUUGAAAAGAGAGUGAAACAGUACGUGAAAUUGUUGAAAGGGAAGGGCUUGCAAGCAGACACACAAACCUUUUCGGAGGAUUGUGGGCCAGGGUCGGGUGAGGAGGCGAGAAAAGCGGAGGGAAACGUGGCCCCUGGGCAUUUGCGCAGGGGUGUUAUAGUCCCUUCUUAUGUUGCCAUCCCCGCCCGAGGACCGCUUUUAUUAGAGGAUCCUGGCGUAAUGGUUGCAAGUCGCCC